RNAcentral lists this ribosomal RNA (327 nucleotides) under Grammopoecilus angustatus. RNAcentral's name for it is "partial large subunit ribosomal RNA". The record is from RNAcentral. Lineage: Eukaryota; Metazoa; Arthropoda; Insecta; Hemiptera; Coreidae.
AUAUAGGAGUGAUAUGCUAUUCAUUUUUAAAUAUCUGGUUUCUUAAUAAAUUAAUUUAAUUAAGAUAAUGUUUAGGUUAUUUUAUAAUUUUAUUUUUUUUAAUAACAUUUAUUAAUAAUAUAGGGGAUAAGCUCUUUAUUAAUUCUAUAAUCAGUUUUUAUUUUAUAAUUUUAGUAGGCUUUACAACGGCCAUCAUUAAUUUCGUUACAGUUUAUAUUAUAAUGUUAUUUAUUUAUUUUUGAUUUAGGUUUUUAUUAAGAUUUAAUAUUUAAUUUUAAAGUUUUAGUAAUAAUGAUUGAAUUAGUAGUUUUGAAAAUUUAAAUUUAG